This 490-nucleotide ribosomal RNA is filed under the name uncultured eukaryote. RNAcentral's name for it is "bacterial SSU rRNA". It matches the Rfam family "Eukaryotic small subunit ribosomal RNA", at positions 592 to 1102 of the family's 1831-position model. The record is from RNAcentral.
CAAUAGCGUAUAUUAAAGUUGUUGCGGUUAAAAAGCUCGUAGUUGGAUUUCUGCCGAGGACGACCGGUCCGCCCUCUGGGUGAGCAUCUGGAUCGGCCUGGGCAUCCUCUUGGGGAACGUAGCUGCACUUGACUGUGUGGUGCGGUAUCCAGGACCUUUACUUUGAGGAAAUUAGAGUGUUUCAAGCAGGCUUCCGCCUUGAAUACAUUAGCAUGGAAUAAUAAGAUAGGACCUCGGUUCUAUUUUGUUGGUUUCUAGAGCUGAGGUAAUGAUUAAUAGGGAUAGUUGGGGGCAUUCGUAUUUAACUGUCAGAGGUGAAAUUCUUGGAUUUGUUAAAGACGGACUACUGCGAAAAGCUAUUCGACCGAAGGAGUUUGUUUCUAGUUAGUACUACGAAACGGAAACGGUAAAAGGGGUUAAGGGGUACGUACGGAAACGGAACGUACUACGAAGUAACCUAACCUACUUCGUAGGAACGUACGUCCGAACC